This 772-nucleotide long non-coding RNA is filed under the name Carica papaya (papaya). RNAcentral's name for it is "long non-coding RNA (CPAP_LNC012313)". The record is from RNAcentral. Lineage: Eukaryota; Viridiplantae; Streptophyta; Magnoliopsida; Brassicales; Caricaceae.
CAACCAUUUGAUUCAUUUUAUAACCCGAUGAAAAAAUCGAAGAAAAGGAGUAACGCAAUAGCUGUGAGCAUGCAGAAGAAAAAGUACCUAAAAUCAACGAGAGAAAACGGAAAAAAAAUUCACCAAAAUCCUUGUUUUAAGUACUCGAACAACAGUCAAAACAUAUAAUAAGAAUUAGAAUCCUGAAACAUCAGAUUAACAACAUGACGAGUUUCGCAGUAUUAACAACAGCAGUUAACUAAUCCAGAAAAUGAUUCAACAGAGAAAGCUACUAAUCUCGAAUCAAACGCUAAUCACAGUACUCAACAGUAACGUCGAUCAUAAACUGGAUCACGAUAGUCGGAAAAAGAUCCGGGAUACCAUUUUCCGGAACACUUAACAAACAGAUCGAUAACAUAGAAAAUAUCGAAAACGAUAGAUAAGAAUAAAAACAAACCUCGACGGUGGGAUUGCCACGGCUGUCGAAGAUUUGCCUUGCCUUGACGGAGACGAUGGUAUCCAUGGCCAGAAGCUCGUAGAUCUAAGAGAGGAAUCAAGCUAGAGACGACAAGAUAGAACAGGAGAAGGUUUUGAUAGAAAGAAGAGAGUGAAUGUGGUAUAUAAAGAGAAGACGGUUGAGAUGAAAUUAAUAAGAACCGUCGGAUCAGAUAUUAGGUUUUGUUGGUAUUAGAAUAAACUGUGGUCGUUACCGUGGUGUGUGUUUUUACUGAAGCCCUGGUUUUGAAACUCACUUUACAUACAUGUCCACGGUUUUGUUUAACUUCACUUUCCG